This 200-nucleotide ribosomal RNA is filed under the name uncultured bacterium. Its description in RNAcentral is "partial 16S ribosomal RNA". It matches the Rfam family "Bacterial small subunit ribosomal RNA", at positions 524 to 723 of the family's 1533-position model. The record is from RNAcentral.
UACGGAGGGUUCAAGCGUUGUUCGGAAUUACUGGGCGUAAAGAGCGCGUAGGCGGCGCAGAUAGUCAGAUGUGAAAGCCCUGGGCUUAACCCAGGAGGUGCAUUUGAUACUGCUGUGCUAGAGUACCGAAGAGGUAAGUGGAAUUCCUAGUGUAGAGGUGAAAUUCGUAGAUAUUAGGAGGAACACCAGUGGCGAAGGCG